AAAUUGAAGAGUUUGAUCAUGGCUCAGAUUGAACGCUGGCGGCAGGCCUAACACAUGCAAGUCGAGCGGAAACGACAACAUUGAAUCUUCGGAGGAUUUGUUGGGCGUCGAGCGGCGGACGGGUGAGUAAUGCCUAGGAAAUUGCCUUGAUGUGGGGGAUAACCAUUGGAAACGAUGGCUAAUACCGCAUAAUGCCUAC
Molecule: ribosomal RNA, 199 nt
Filed under: Vibrio sp. OPT20
Lineage: Bacteria; Pseudomonadati; Pseudomonadota; Gammaproteobacteria; Vibrionales; Vibrionaceae
Description: partial 16S ribosomal RNA
Rfam family: Bacterial small subunit ribosomal RNA
Source: RNAcentral